Molecule: ribosomal RNA, 199 nt
Filed under: uncultured bacterium
Lineage: Bacteria
Description: partial 16S ribosomal RNA
Rfam family: Bacterial small subunit ribosomal RNA
Source: RNAcentral
ACGCUCGACACCUACUGGAGGCAGCGGUGGGGAAUAUUGCACAAUGGGGGAAACCCUGAUGCAGCGACGCCGCGUGGAGGAAGAAGGUCUUCGGAUUGUAAACUCCUGUUGUUGGGGAAAAAGNGGAUGGUACCCAACAAGGAAGUGACGGCUAACUACGUGCCGGCAGCCGCGGUAAUCUGAGGCGGGCUGGCAAGGC